GUGCUUGCUUCGGCAGCACAUAUACUAAAAUUGGAAAGAUACUGAGAAGAUUAGCAAGGCUAUGCGCAGGGAUGACAUGCAAAUUCGUGAAGCGUUCCAUAUUUAA
This is a small nuclear RNA of Myotis myotis, 106 nucleotides long. NCBI's taxonomy places the organism in Eukaryota, Metazoa, Chordata, Mammalia, Chiroptera, Vespertilionidae. The record is from RefSeq and is a predicted model, not a curated record.